Molecule: ribosomal RNA, 373 nt
Filed under: uncultured organism
Description: partial 16S ribosomal RNA
Rfam family: Bacterial small subunit ribosomal RNA
Source: RNAcentral
GUACCGGACGAACGUUAUUCGGAAUCACUGGGCUUAAAGAGUACGUAGGCUGGUUUUGUAGGUGAGAUGUGAAAUCCCACGGCUCAACCGUGGAACUGCGUUUCAAACCACAAAACUUGAGGGAGACAGGGGUGAGCGGAACUGAUGGUGGAGCGGUGAAAUGCGUUGAUAUCAUCAGGAACACCGGUGGCGAAGGCGGCUCACUGGGUCUCUUCUGACGCUGAGGUACGAAAGCUAGGGUAGCGAACGGGAUUAGAUACCCCGGUAGUCCUAGCUGUAAACGAUGAGCACUAGUUCGGGGGGACUUCCACAUCCUCCCGGACGUAGCGAAAGUGUUAAGUGCUCCGCCUGGGGAGUAUGGUCGCAAAGGCUG